AUACACAUGUCUUAGAACACACGUUGGUGCAUUCGAAUUAUGUAUUAUAUAUGUAGUGUAUAUUUGCAGUUCACAGUCAGCGUUCUCCUGGUAUAUGUAUAACAAUUUAGGGCAGAGAAUACAAUUCACGUUAGGGAGCGGUGGUAAAUACGCUAGCGUUCCCUGUGGUGUAGGCCGCGGUACUCAGUGCUUUGUUCAGACAUGGACAUUAUGUCCAUGGUCUAGACCAACUCUUCGGCUCUUACGUAACACUUAGGACGUUGACCCUAUCCUAACCCUGUGCGAGUAUAAGGACUAGACCCUCGAUUUCUUUACACCGGUGUGCAUUUGUUGUUUUGUGACUGUACAGGUUGCCGGUUUAACGCAGGUGUGCUGUAGCUUAGCACGACGUGUGACCUAGUUCUCAGUCGCAAAUACAAAUAUUACACAGAUUAAGACAGGCGUUUGUAUAGUCAGCGUUAUUUUUGCGUCAGCGGAAGCUUAAAGGACUCUGGAGAUGACAUUGACCUUGAUAUUAUAUAAUGGUCACUGCGUGCUCUUUGGUAUUCGGUGGCAGCUGGGCCGGGAUUAGAGGAGCCAAUAACACUAUUGAAGGGCAGCACGAUUAUAAUGCCGGUUUCACAACUGACACAAAAUCCAAAUCAAGGACGCCCACUAGAGGGCGUUCCAACAUGGGAGGAGUACACCAAGGAAAAGAAGGGCUACAUCAACAUUGGCAAAC
This 721-nucleotide unclassified non-coding RNA is filed under the name Lingula anatina. RNAcentral's name for it is "liver carboxylesterase 1, transcript variant X1". Lineage: Eukaryota; Metazoa; Brachiopoda; Lingulata; Lingulida; Lingulidae. The record is from RNAcentral.